RNAcentral lists this ribosomal RNA (451 nucleotides) under uncultured Arthrobacter sp. Its description in RNAcentral is "bacterial SSU rRNA". It matches the Rfam family "Bacterial small subunit ribosomal RNA", at positions 57 to 511 of the family's 1533-position model. Lineage: Bacteria; Bacillati; Actinomycetota; Actinomycetes; Micrococcales; Micrococcaceae. The record is from RNAcentral.
GCAAAGUCGAAACGAUGAAGCCUAGCUUGCUGGGGUGGAUUAGUGGCGAAACGGGGUGAGUAAACACGUGAGUAAACCCUGCCCCUUGACUCUGGGAUAAGCCUGGGAAACUGGGUCUAAUACCGGAUACGACCAUUGCCCGCAUGGGUUGGUGGUGGAAAGCUUUUGUGGUUUUGGAUGGACUCGCGGCCUAUCAGCUUGUUGGUGAGGUAAUGGCUCACCAAGGCGACGACGGGUAGCCGGCCUGAGAGGGUGACCGGCCACACUGGGACUGAGACACGGCCCAGACUCCUACGGGAGGCAGCAGUGGGGAAUAUUGCACAAUGGGCGAAAGCCUGAUGCAGCGACGCCGCGUGAGGGAUGACGGCCUUCGGGUUGUAAACCUCUUUCAGUAGGGAAGAAGCGAAAGUGACGGUACCUGCAGAAGAAGCGCCGGCUAACUACGUGCCAG